Mesocricetus auratus (golden hamster) is the source of this 45-nucleotide non-coding RNA. Lineage: Eukaryota; Metazoa; Chordata; Mammalia; Rodentia; Cricetidae. The record is from Rfam.
CCCAAGGUUUUCUUCAAAACCACACAUCUUGUCUUCAGGUUUGAU